Molecule: ribosomal RNA, 497 nt
Filed under: uncultured bacterium
Lineage: Bacteria
Description: partial 16S ribosomal RNA
Rfam family: Bacterial small subunit ribosomal RNA
Source: RNAcentral
GAUGAACGCUGGCGGCGUGCCUAAUACAUGCAAGUCGAGCGAACAGACGAGGAGCUUGCUCCUCUGACGUUAGCGGCGGACGGGUGAGUAACACGUGGAUAACCUACCUAUAAGACUGGGAUAACUUCGGGAAACCGGAGCUAAUACCGGAUAAUAUAUUGAACCGCAUGGUUCAAUAGUGAAAGACGGUUUUGCUGUCACUUAUAGAUGGAUCCGCGCCGCAUUAGCUAGUUGGUAAGGUAACGGCUUACCAAGGCGACGAUACGUAGCCGACCUGAGAGGGUGAUCGGCCACACUGGAACUGAGACACGGUCCAGACUCCUACGGGAGGCAGCAGUAGGGAAUCUUCCGCAAUGGGCGAAAGCCUGACGGAGCAACGCCGCGUGAGUGAUGAAGGUCUUCGGAUCGUAAAACUCUGUUAUUAGGGAAGAACAAAUGUGUAAGUAACUAUGCACGUCUUGACGGUACCUAAUCAGAAAGCCACGGCUAACUACGUG